Molecule: ribosomal RNA, 253 nt
Filed under: uncultured bacterium
Lineage: Bacteria
Description: partial 16S ribosomal RNA
Rfam family: Bacterial small subunit ribosomal RNA
Source: RNAcentral
GACGGAGGAUGCAAGCGUUAUCCGGAAUUAUUGGGCGUAAAGCGUGCGUAGGCGGUUAUUCAAGUCAGAGGUGAAAGCCCGGGGCUCAACCCCGGAACGGCCUUUGAAACUAGAUAACUAGAAUCUUGGAGAGGUCAGUGGAAUUCCGAGUGUAGAGGUGAAAUUCGUAGAUAUUCGGAAGAACACCAGUGGCGAAGGCGACUGACUGGACAAGUAUUGACGCUGAGGUACGAAAGCGUGGGGAGCAAACAGG